CUCUGUUUGGUUUGUUUGUGGUGUGCCCGCUGGUGGAGAAGUUGUUUUUAGCGUUGAUAAAGGAGCCGUUUCGAAGGAGAGGAUCAGAGAGCGUAUCAGCGGCGAGUUCCUGGUGGUCGGACCUAUUCAUUUCGGGUCGGAAAGAACCAACAUCAGGAAUUUGACCCGGAACUUUGGGGAUUGACAUGGAUAGAGCAGCUGACUGUUCAAAUGCCCGUGCCCCCGAAAG
Molecule: unclassified non-coding RNA, 229 nt
Filed under: Hevea brasiliensis (rubber tree)
Lineage: Eukaryota; Viridiplantae; Streptophyta; Magnoliopsida; Malpighiales; Euphorbiaceae
Source: RNAcentral